AGUUGUUUACAUGGAGUAAUUAUGUACAAAUACUUAAACAAAGCUGUACAGAUUAACUUCUCAGUGGUUAGUUGGUUAACGACUACAUUAUUACAUUCCGAUUCAUGUAACUUUAUUGUCCAGGGUUACCAAGCUUUGGUUAAUUUCGUUAUUCUCUCUUCACAGUCCUGCAGGUCCAGGCUGUCCCGGUCUGUUGCCCUCGACGAUCCCCUGACCAUCGGACCCAUCUCCUGGAAGAAGGUGACCGAGAGCACACCUUAGCAUUCGCAGGAGCAUCAAAUGAAUACGUCCCCAUCUGUGUGCUGUUCCCCGGGCCUCUGCCUUUCUGCCUGCUUUGAUUGGACACUUGGGUUUCAGUCCCUGCAUCUGAUUCCUCGUUCCCCUUUAUCCUCCCUGUUCUGAUUGGUCACAUGCCUGUCCUUAUAUGGCAUUGUCCAGGUCUGAUUGGUCACAGCAAAGUGCCAGGGUGUAGUUGCCAUCCACAGAGAUCAUACACACAGUGGUUGAUAUAGUGCCCUUUAAAUGUUCUGUUUUAUAAACUAAUUUGUCAUACUCUCUGAAAGCACACAUAGGGAGGGUCUGCUUGACUUCUGAAAUGAAGGCGUUUCAUCAAUAUCCACAAUUUAUAAUCACAAGACAAGUAUUCAGGGAACCGAAUGAAAUAGUUUCAGUCUGCAUAAAACACCAGUUAAAAAAACAGUCCUUCAGAUCUGCUGAUACUACAUGUCAAAAAAAAGUGAACUCCUUCAGAAGUCCAACUGAACAACACCCCCGAAGAGACCACUGAACUGUACAAAUGUAUUCUGAAUGAUGCUUUUUAAUAAAUGUCUGACAGCAGAUAAA
Molecule: long non-coding RNA, 843 nt
Organism: Conger conger (European conger)
Lineage: Eukaryota; Metazoa; Chordata; Actinopteri; Anguilliformes; Congridae
Exons: 3
Source: RefSeq, a predicted model, not a curated record